RNAcentral lists this ribosomal RNA (427 nucleotides) under uncultured bacterium. RNAcentral's name for it is "bacterial SSU rRNA". It matches the Rfam family "Bacterial small subunit ribosomal RNA", at positions 355 to 774 of the family's 1533-position model. The record is from RNAcentral.
UGGGGAAUUUUGGACAAUGGGCGCAAGCCUGAUCCAGCCAUGCCGCGUGCGGGAAGAAGGCCUUCGGGUUGUAAACCGCUUUUGUCAGGGAAGAAACGGUCUGGGCUAAUACCCCGGACUAAUGACGGUACCUGAAGAAUAAGCACCGGCUAACUACGUGCCAGCAGCCGCGGUAAUACGUAGGGUGCAAGCGUUAAUCGGAAUUACUGGGCGUAAAGCGUGCGCAGGCGGUUAUGCAAGACAGAUGUGAAAUCCCCGGGCUUAACCUGGGAACUGCAUUUGUGACUGCAUAGCUAGAGAGCGGUAGAGGGGGAUGGAAUUCCGCGUGUAGCAGUGAAAUGCGUAGAUAUGCGGAGGAACACCGAUGGCGCAGGCAAUCCCCUGGACCUGUACUGACGCUCAUGCACGAAAGCGUGGGGAGCAAACA